RNAcentral lists this ribosomal RNA (465 nucleotides) under uncultured bacterium. Its description in RNAcentral is "partial 16S ribosomal RNA". It matches the Rfam family "Bacterial small subunit ribosomal RNA", at positions 338 to 795 of the family's 1533-position model. The record is from RNAcentral.
CCUACGGGGUGCAGCAGUAGGGAAUCUUCGUCAAUGGACGAAAGUCUGACCGAGCAACGCCGCGUGAGUGAAGAAGGUUUUCUGAUCGUAAAACUCUGUUGGUAGCGAAGAACGUUGUUGAGAGUGGACAGCUCCUCAAGUGCCGUUAACUACCCAGCAAGGUACGGCUAACUACGUGCCAGCAGCCGCGGUAAUACGUCGGUCCCGAGCGUUGUCCGGAUUUAUUGGGCGUAAAGCGAGCGCAGGUGGUUUAUUAAGUCUGGUGUAAAAGGCAGUGGCUCAACCAUUGUAUGCAUUGGAAACUGGUAGACUUGAGUGCAGGAGAGGAGAGUGGAAUUCCAUGUGUAGCGGUGAAAUGCGUAGAUAUAUGGAGGAACACCGGUGGCGAAAGCUGCUCUCUGGCCUGUAACUGACACUGAGGCUCGAAAGCGUGGGGAGCAAACAGGAUUAGAUACCCUAGUAGUC